GCUGCAGACCCCGCUCUCCAGCAAGGACCACGGGGUCACCAUGGCCCUUUCCGCCUUAGACGGGUUCUGCUGUCAGCCGCCGUUCCCACACCUGAUCGAGCCCAGAAUGUGGGCCGGCAGAGAGACACUUCCUGCUCUGUGUUGUCUGUGAGGACGCCCUAGAGAGAUUCCUGACCACAGUGGGGCCGAGGCCCUAAAGACGGACUUGAAGAGGCUUCUCUUGUGAAGGAGUUCUGUAAAUGCAGUUGAGAGCAACCAAAUCAUCUACUAACAAGUUGUGUACAGAUCACUCAGUAACUGAAGCGCAGGGCCCGGGUGUGGCAAAUGUCUGGCCAGGACUUGCCCAGGUCAGCUGGCUCUGUGAUGUCGACCCCCCACCCCAUAUGCCGGUUCAUGGUCCACAAUGGCCACUGACAUCAUAACUGAUAUUAAAAUCCUGGAGACUGCAGUCCCCACAGUUGCUGAGUUCAGUAAGAAAAUACGGAGCAGUUAUUCUUGUGCUGCAGUCUGCUCAGGGUGCUUGCGUACUGGAGGGGGAUCUUCAGAGAAUGUGCCCUGAGUCAACUUUGGAACUCUGCCUUCAGGGCCAAACACGUUUUGUGGUCGGUCUGCUUCUUCAGAGCUCACUCAACAGCAUCCGUGCAUCUCUCUGUGCCUGGUGGCGGGCGGGCGCAACUUGCAUCUCUCUGCCCCAAGGUCACCCUGGUUGGCCCCCGCCCAGCAGUCUCCAGUCUCCCUGGAAACCCCCCGCCCGUGUCCUGAUUCUGUGUGCCCCCCCAAAGUAAGUGUGCUUCCUGCUUACCUGGGGGCUCCCUGCCUCUCGAGACAGACCAAGUCCUGGAGGUCAGCGGGCCCACCACUGCUUCUGGAACCUGUCUACAUACGACGUACGUGCAAACACGCAGGAAUUUUCUGGAACAUGGACCCGAGCGUUUGAUCACAGAGGCCAGGAAACCAGCCAGCAGUCCUGACUCGCUUUCAGGGCUGGGCUGGAGGGUCAGGUUUCCUGCUCGCCCCACCUGGGGUGCAGGUCUCACCAUUACCUGGGUGCGUCCGGGUGUGUUCUCUGGCUGGGCAGAGCUCAGGUCGUCUGCAUCCUUUGCAAACGAGGCUGCCUGCUCGGAACUGCCGUCGGUGGAGUGGAUGCUGUCCUGCCCGGGGUGGGGUGGGCGGUCUGCUCGGGUGCUGGCCUGGCUCCCGGGGCAAGCUGGUUUUGGUUUUCCUCAGCAUUAACGCAGGAGAGAUCUUCCAGUAGGCCGGGCGGCUUAACGAUAAAGCUGGGCCUUCACACUCAGGCACGUGGUUGGGCUCAGCCCGAGGUCCCCGGUGAGUUACGCUGUGGGCUGCGGUCUGGGCAGCAGCCUCGGUGGGCCUCCCUCUGGCUCGCAAGUCCUCCUCCCCGCAAGGUCCUCGCGACCCUUGGGUGCUCCGUGGUCCCCUGUGUCUGCACUUCCCACCUGGGGACUUCGAUGCUCCCAGCUCCCCGGGGGGUGGAGGAGGGCACCCUGAGCUGGCUGGCGUACCCCCCACCUGGCCGUGGAGGACGGGCAGCUCGUGCAGAGGGCAGGAGGGGGGGUCUCUGCCCUGCUGGGCUCCACUUGACCUGUGGGGCCUGUGGCCACAGGUGCAGCUCAGAAGCAACCUGCCCCCAGGGUGUGGCCGGGCAGGACCAACAGGGCAGGGCUCGGUGUCCCAGCUGCAGCGGUGCCGCCUCUCCUAAUGGGAGCUGGGUUGGCACGUCUGAACGGCCACAACCAAGCCUCCAAUGCGGAUUCCCGGGAGGGGGUGCUUCCCCUCUGCCUCACUGCAAGAUAGGGGAGACGGACCCCCAGAGAGCGUGCUCAGGCCCUUCCAGGCAUGACCCGGGAGGCAGCUGAUGGCACAGUGGCUUCCGGUAGCCCCGGGACCACAGCUGGACACGAGGCCUCAUCGCCAGCCCCGAAGGUCUCCACCUGACGCUGAGCCCAGAGCCAAGCCCGGCUGUGCUGGGCUUUGAAGGAAGGACGAUUCAGGGCCUCAGAAAGGAGGUGGGAGGGGCCCUUAGGAAUGUGAGAGUGAGCGGGGAAGAGGAGUGAGGCGGGGGAGACGGCAGCGGACCUGCUCCUGGGGGGACGGCCUUGGACACUGACGGGGCUGAGGUCAGUGAAGAUCCUGCGGGGCCGGGAGCUGCAGGCACCGGGUGGGCGAAGCUGGGCGGUGGCCCAUGGCGGCUGCAAGGCCAAGGGGAUGGGCUGCUGCCCGUGUGACGGUCCGCGUCCCUCCGUCCCUCUAACCGCCUCUGGCCGCUUUGAGAACGGGUGUCCCAGGUCGCCGCGGGGCGGCUUCCUCGCCGUGCUGGCUCUUGAGGAAGUAGGAGGAGACUGGCUUCGGGGGAACGAGGUCAAGACCUCGCGGUGGGGAGGAUUUGGAGUCAGGGCCAUGUGCGUGUUGGUCCUAAUGUAAAGGUCAGAUCCUGGGUCCCCCUCCAGCCACUCAGCUCUGUCCUCACUCACCCAACACCUGCCAUGUGCUGAGGGCCGUGAAGAUAAAUCACACACAGGCCUCAAGCUCGGGCGCUGCGGAGGCGAGAACACAGGUAAGGGGGGCACGUGGGGAGCGGGCCCGGGAGAGCCGAGGGGCGGGAGUGCGUCUCCCGCCCGUGAAGACCCAGGAGGCGCCUAGAACAGACAGGAAACGCUUGUCACGGGAGGCCCUUCUCUCUCGGGAUGUUGUUCAGACCCAGACAGCAGAGACGGAACGCUGGGGACUGUCCUCAGACAUUCCCGCAGGAAGAGAGCGGCCCCGGUGCCACCCUCUCCGUGUCCCGUGAGGCUGCCUGCGGCCACCACGUCCCACAGGGGGCAGGGCUGCCAGUCACCUGCCCUCUGUUGUGGUGACGACGUCUCGGCCCUUCCCAAGGACGCUCAUCCCUGCUCCUGCGCCCGACCGGGGGUCCGCCGGGGGCCCAGCCUUGGAGUUCAGAGGCUCAGGUGGCUGCUGCCAUUUUCCCAGAAAAAGAAGACUGGCCCAGGAGGCUCUGGAUGGUGAGGUCGGUCGGUGGCCCAGGCUCCCGGGCUCACUGCUGAGCUGGGGCCACGAGGGCACUGGGCUGGUGAGAGAAGCCACCGGGUCCGCUGCUCCUUGGGCCGAGCCCUGCCUGCCUGCUGGUGACAAUGAGAUAAGAUGCCUGAGACUACGGAGCCGUCGUGUGGUCUGAGCUCCCCACGCGUGUUGGUGCUCCUGGGGCCCUGAGACUCCCCGAGUCAUUGUUUUGCACAAAUGCAGCAUUCUCCCGAGAGCAGCGCCCGCGGGCCGUGUGCAUGUGGACAGAACGCGUGUGGGGCUGAGCGUGGUUCCCGCGCCGCGUCCCCCUGAGCGAGGGGGAGGCGUGGGCUCAGCCUGCAGGGAGGGGGGACGGGCAUUGGCAAAGGCUUCCUGGAGAAAGUGCUCUGAUGACUGACUGGGGUCUAUUUUAAAGGGGGUGAUACACUUGUUUCCCCUUAUUUGCUGCAGGCGAGUAAUGGCAAUUACCUUUCCUGAACUUCUGAAAAGCAUAGAUACACCAUAGACAUCCCUGAGAUACUCCAUGAUUAUUGAAGAAAAAGUCAUUAAUUAUUUAACUUUUCUGGUUGAGAGAGGAAGACGAAGACCUGGAGAGAAGGGGCCUCUGGAUAACCAAGUGGGAGAUGGAAAUGAGGGGGGCGUUCCUUGGCUGUUGAAGUGGGUGCAUGUUUGUAUCUGACAGAGCCACCCCCAGGGACAAGGUCUCAUGUACUUACAAGAGGGUGGCGGGAUCUAAAGCCCUUUCCGAUCCUCAGUCGAUGCUGACAGACAGGCGCUGGGAGCAGGAAGGGGGCGUGCUGCGCCGUCCAAGAGAGCGCUGCGGUCCACCGUGGGCCACUUCUGCGAAUCGUACUCCAGAAGUCCAUCUGGGACUGGGAACAUGGCAUAAAAUACUAAUAUUUUGAUUUUAAUUAUAUCUUUUAUCUAAUAAUUCAAGCAUUAAAAUCAUCCAUUUGUUUUUGUCACAUGUUCUGAGAUAAAUAUCGUCAUUACCACCACCACCAUCACCACCAUCACCAUCAGCAUCAUUACCAUCAUCACCAUCAUCAUCAUCACCAUCAGCACCACCAUCACCAUCAGCACCACUAUCAUCAUCAACACCACCAUCAUCACCACAACCACUACCACCAUCACCAUCAUCACCACCAUCACCACCAUCACCAUCAUAUCAUCACCAUCAGCACCACCGUCACCAUCAGCACCACUAUCAUCAUCAACACCACCAUCAUCACCAUCAUCAUCAUCACCACCACCAUUACCACCAUCACCAUCAUCAUCACCACCAUCAUCGAAAGACCUCUAUCAAGAACCUGAGAGCACAAUGUCCUUUGGCCUGCAAGAUACAAAGAGAAUCGCACAGAUGUACUUGCCCGUUAUGACUAAAAGCUAUUAGAAGGACGAUAAGGCACCUGUAGCUCAUAUGUUUUUAGGACAUGAAGAGAAAUACAGAAACAACAUGAAAUAAGGAUAAAGCAGAGUAACUCUGAAGGGAAAACACUUGUUUUGAGGAGAAAGAUACACACAUCUUAGGCGCAAACCCAGUGAAGUUCUACAACGAGCACCGUGGGAUGAUCAUCAGCGGCCAGUUUCCAGGAGCCUGUUCCUUCUCCACUUUGUCACUAUGUCCUUCCCCCUCAACCUUGAAUAGCCUGACUGCUAACCUUUAGAUUAGCUUUUCCUGAUUUUGAACUGUGUAUGACUGGAAUCAGACAAUAUGUAUUUUGUGUAUCUGGUUUCUUUCCCUCACACUAUGUGAGAUUUAUGCUUGUUGGUGCCUGCCGUUGUAGAUUCUUACUGCUGAAGAUAAACCACAAAUUAUCCCUCUACUAACGAUGAGCAUUUGUGUGGUUCCCAGCUUUGGCCUAUUAAAAUAGCACUGCCGCGAACAUGCUGUUUGAUGGGUCUAUACCUCAGGGCAGAAUUGCUGGAUCAUCAGAUAGGCACCUACUAAA
Long non-coding RNA from Balaenoptera acutorostrata (minke whale), 4994 nucleotides. RefSeq lists it as uncharacterized. Lineage: Eukaryota; Metazoa; Chordata; Mammalia; Artiodactyla; Balaenopteridae. The transcript has 7 exons. The record is from RefSeq and is a predicted model, not a curated record.